UUCUCUCCUUUCAAACUCCUUUUCUGUAUUUCUCUCUCAGUUUCUCUGCGUCGAUCUCCCUCCUCCUCCUCCUCAUCUCUUUCUCUCUCUGUCUCUCUCUGUCUCUGUCUCUCUCUCUCUCUCUUCCCUUUCCCUAUCACAAUUCAAAAAUCGAGGCCCAAAAGCCCUAUUUGCUACUGUCAUUUGAUAUCUCUUUCAUUUUCCUCUUCGUUGUGUCCCUCUCUUUUCGUGGUGGUGGAGAAAAAGGUAGUAAUCUCGCAAAGUCAUACUGGUGCUCAAAGAUUGGAUUUUUACUGCUACCCAUCUGUGCAGGGAAAAGUUCGGAGAAGUUGAUGGAGGCAAGUGUUGAGAGAGAGCAGAUACUUGUGGAUUAAUUGCAGGAAAGCAUUCAAAGUCUUGAAAGGCAGUCCUCACGAGUGGAAGAAUUGUCCCAGAUUUUGAAAAGAGCAAAUAAUUUCUUGCAUUUUGUGUUGCAGAAUGCACCUGUUGUUAUUGGCCAUCAGGAUAAAGAAUUGUUGUAUCUGUUUAUCUAUAAUCACGUCCCAAGUUUGCAAGAGGAGCACAUUAUAGGAAGAACAGAUGUUGAGAUUUUUACCGGGGCCGGCGUUAAGGAAUCUCAAGACUUCAAGAAGGAGGUUCUAGAAAAAUGGUUACCUUCCAAAAGGACCAUUACAUAUGAGACACCAUUAUUUGGGUCAAAAACAUUUUGGAUACAUGUGGAGCCCGUCUUCAGCAAGGCAUGAGAGACAUUUGGUAUAAAUUACACGGGGAUAGAUGUCACUGAUCAGGCGAGGAAGAGAGAAAAGAUGGCAAAGCUUAGUGAGGAAAUCGCCGUCCAAAAAGCCGAGGAACUUAUAGUAAUUUUACGUAUAUUUUUAUAAUUUUUAAAAAUCAUAAAUUUUACAAGUAAUGCAAUAAAAUAAUAGCCAAAUGACACAAGUUAGAGUCUCAAUGCUGUAGUAUCACUUGUUUGCCACCAAAAUAUGUUCCGUAAAAGCUUUAAAAGGAUUCACUAGAGCUUCAACAUCGCUUCAUUUCCUAUUC
Prunus mume (Japanese apricot) is the source of this 1044-nucleotide non-coding RNA. The record is from RefSeq and is a predicted model, not a curated record. Lineage: Eukaryota; Viridiplantae; Streptophyta; Magnoliopsida; Rosales; Rosaceae.